RNAcentral lists this transfer RNA (71 nucleotides) under Lactobacillus phage ATCCB. It matches the Rfam family "tRNA". Rfam says of the family: Transfer RNA (tRNA) molecules are approximately 80 nucleotides in length. Their secondary structure includes four short double-helical elements and three loops (D, anti-codon, and T loops). Lineage: Duplodnaviria; Heunggongvirae; Uroviricota; Caudoviricetes. The record is from Rfam by way of RNAcentral.
GCGGAUAUAGUUCAAUGGUAGAAUAACAGCCUUCCAAGCUGUAGAUGCGAGUUCGAUUCUCGUUAUCCGCU